AGAGAGCUCGGCACCUGCCAAGGCUGGCAAGAGAGCGCGGUGCGGCGCCUCUUGGACGCGCACGGAGCACGUCUAG
Molecule: non-coding RNA, 76 nt
Filed under: Chrysotila carterae
Lineage: Eukaryota; Haptophyta; Isochrysidales; Isochrysidaceae
Source: RNAcentral